Molecule: long non-coding RNA, 420 nt
Organism: Triticum aestivum (bread wheat)
Lineage: Eukaryota; Viridiplantae; Streptophyta; Magnoliopsida; Poales; Poaceae
Exons: 3
Source: RefSeq, a predicted model, not a curated record
CCGACACCUUUGCCCUGUUCUCUCCCCACGCGAGCGGCGAGCCGCCAGGAGGCCAUGGCGGUUGCCAUCGCCUGCUCGGCGAUUGGACGUGUGAACGGCGGCCCGGACGGCGCGACGAAUUCAUCCCCCGCUUACCCUGGUUCUGAUCCAGCAGCGGGAAGCAGCCAGCAGGCAUUGGUUCAGUUUCAAAGGCACAACCCACAGAUUCAGGCAGGAGCAGAAUUUUCUUCUCGUUAAGGAGGAUGCACUACAGUACAUACAAACAAAAGGAAUUUUGAUGUGCCUGCUGAGGAGACCGUUGGUGUGGCCGAUAUUUUCCCUUCGUCCGAUACACCUUCUGCAGAGUGUCUUCACGUUCGAUCAGUGGUUUCGCGCCUGCGGGUUGUUCCACUCCAAACUGUGGGGUCUCCUUACCGGCCA